ACGCUCGACACCUACAGGAGGCAGCAGUGGGGAAUAUUGCACAAUGGGGGAAACCCUGAUGCAGCAACGCCGCGUGAAGGAAGACGGUUUUCGGAUUGUAAACUUCUGUUCUUAGUGAAGAUAGUGACGGUAGCUAAGGAGCAAGCCACGGCUAACUACGUGCCAACAGCCGCGGUAAUCUGAGCGGGCUGGCAAGGC
RNAcentral lists this ribosomal RNA (198 nucleotides) under uncultured bacterium. RNAcentral describes it as "partial 16S ribosomal RNA". It matches the Rfam family "Bacterial small subunit ribosomal RNA", at positions 328 to 539 of the family's 1533-position model. The record is from RNAcentral.